This 257-nucleotide long non-coding RNA is filed under the name Eucalyptus grandis. Its description in RNAcentral is "long non-coding RNA (EGRA_LNC000178)". The record is from RNAcentral. Lineage: Eukaryota; Viridiplantae; Streptophyta; Magnoliopsida; Myrtales; Myrtaceae.
UUGUUUAACAUUCCUUUUGCUAGUUGAAAGUGAACUUGGACUCUUUAUUUGCAGGGGAAGGCAUGUUGUCACGUCAUUUCUGCAUUUAGUAAUGCUCAUGUACUUGUAUUGCACCCUUGUUUUCCUUUCAUAAUUUGGUUAUCUGUGCUUAUGGACAUAAACUGCAUAAUGGUGUCUCUUUCGUCCUUAAUAAUGGAAUAAAUUGUUCAUUCUUCUCCGUGAUAAGGGGAAGAUUCAAAUUUUAUCUUGUUUGCAUU